UACGUAGGGGGCAAGCGUUGUCCGGAUUUAUUGGGCGUAAAGAGCGUGUAGGCGGCUUUACAGGUCCGUUGUGAAAACUCGAGGCUCAACCUCGAGACGCCGGUGGAAACCGUAAGGCUAGAGUCCGGAAGAGGAGAGUGGAAUUCCUGGUGUAGCGGUGAAAUGCGCAGAUAUCAGGAGGAACACCCGUGGCGAAAGCGGCUCUCUGGGACGGUACUGACGCUGGGACGCGAAAGCGUGGGGAGCAAACAGG
RNAcentral lists this ribosomal RNA (253 nucleotides) under uncultured bacterium. RNAcentral's name for it is "partial 16S ribosomal RNA". It matches the Rfam family "Bacterial small subunit ribosomal RNA", at positions 524 to 776 of the family's 1533-position model. The record is from RNAcentral.